Molecule: non-coding RNA, 73 nt
Organism: Myotis brandtii (Brandt's bat)
Lineage: Eukaryota; Metazoa; Chordata; Mammalia; Chiroptera; Vespertilionidae
Source: Rfam
AGCAGUUCUUGGGUGACGCACCUGGAACCAGAAGAGGGAGCCCGAUUCCGGGGUGCGUCACCCAAGAACCGCC